UCGGGAGGCAGCAGUGGGGAAUAUUGCACAAUGGGCGCAAGCCUGAUGCAGCCAUGCCGCGUGUAUGAAAAAGGCCUUCGGGUUGUAAAGUACUUUCAGUCGUGAGGAAGGUGUUAAGGUUAAUAACCUUAGCAAUUGACGUUAGCGACAGAAGAAGCACCGGCUAACUCCGUGCCAGCAGCCGCGGUAAUACGGAGGGUGCGAGCGUUAAUCGGAAUUACUGGGCGUAAAGGGCACGCAGGCGGUUAAUUAAGUUGGAUGUGAAAUCCCCGGGCUUAACCUGGGAAUGGCAUUCAAGACUGGUUAGCUAGAGUCUUGUAGAGGGGGUAGAAUUCCAUGUGUAGCGGUGAAAUGCGUAGAGAUGUGGAGGAAUACCGGUGGCGAAGGCGGCCCCUGGGACAAAGACUGACGCUCAUGUGCGAAAGCGUGGGGAGCAAACAGGGAUUAGAUACC
Molecule: ribosomal RNA, 453 nt
Filed under: uncultured bacterium
Lineage: Bacteria
Description: bacterial SSU rRNA
Rfam family: Bacterial small subunit ribosomal RNA
Source: RNAcentral